This 832-nucleotide ribosomal RNA is filed under the name Salinicola zeshunii. Its description in RNAcentral is "bacterial SSU rRNA". It matches the Rfam family "Bacterial small subunit ribosomal RNA", at positions 56 to 880 of the family's 1533-position model. Lineage: Bacteria; Pseudomonadati; Pseudomonadota; Gammaproteobacteria; Oceanospirillales; Halomonadaceae. The record is from RNAcentral.
UGCAGUCGAGCGGCAGCACGGGGAGCUUGCUCCCUGGUGGCGAGCGGCGGACGGGUGAGUAAUGCAUAGGAAUCUGCCCGGUAGUGGGGGAUAACGUGGGGAAACCCACGCUAAUACCGCAUACGUCCUACGGGAGAAAGCGGAGGAUCUUCGGACUUCGCGCUAUCGGAUGAGCCUAUGUCGGAUUAGCUAGUUGGUAAGGUAACGGCUUACCAAGGCGACGAUCCGUAGCUGGUCUGAGAGGAUGAUCAGCCACACUGGGACUGAGACACGGCCCAGACUCCUACGGGAGGCAGCAGUGGGGAAUAUUGGACAAUGGGCGAAAGCCUGAUCCAGCCAUGCCGCGUGUGUGAAGAAGGCUUUCGGGUUGUAAAGCACUUUCAGCGAGGAAGAAAGCCUGGUGGUUAAUACCCAUCAGGAAGGACAUCACUCGCAGAAGAAGCACCGGCUAACUCCGUGCCAGCAGCCGCGGUAAUACGGAGGGUGCGAGCGUUAAUCGGAAUUACUGGGCGUAAAGCGCGCGUAGGUGGCUUGGCACGCCGGUUGUGAAAGCCCCGGGCUCAACCUGGGAACGGCAUCCGGAACGGCCAGGCUAGAGUGCAGGAGAGGAAGGUAGAAUUCCCGGUGUAGCGGUGAAAUGCGUAGAGAUCGGGAGGAAUACCAGUGGCGAAGGCGGCCUUCUGGCCUGACACUGACACUGAGGUGCGAAAGCGUGGGUAGCAAACAGGAUUAGAUACCCUGGUAGUCCACGCCGUAAACGAUGUCGACUAGCCGUUGGGACCUUUAAGGACUUAGUGGCGCAGUUAACGCGAUAAGUCGACCGCCUGGGGAG